RNAcentral lists this transfer RNA (65 nucleotides) under Lepidodesma languilati. RNAcentral's name for it is "tRNA-His". The record is from RNAcentral. Lineage: Eukaryota; Metazoa; Mollusca; Bivalvia; Unionida; Unionidae.
UAAUGAGUAGUUUAAUUAAAAACGACAGGUUGUGGUUCUGUAAAUAGGUUAUUUGCUCUCAUUAG